Molecule: ribosomal RNA, 501 nt
Filed under: Paenibacillaceae bacterium CL5.99
Lineage: Bacteria; Bacillati; Bacillota; Bacilli; Caryophanales; Paenibacillaceae
Description: bacterial SSU rRNA
Rfam family: Bacterial small subunit ribosomal RNA
Source: RNAcentral
CCCUGGCUCAGGACGAACGCUGGCGGCGUGCCUAAUACAUGCAAGUCGAGCGGAAAUGAUGAGAAGCUUGCUUCUCUGAUUUUUAGCGGCGGACGGGUGAGUAACACGUGGGUAACCUGCCUGUAAGACUGGGAUAACAUUCGGAAACGGAUGCUAAUACCGGAUACGCAAUUUGAUCGCAUGAUCGAAUUGGGAAAGAUGGAGUAAUCUAUCGCUUAUAGAUGGACCCGCGGCGCAUUAGCUAGUUGGUGAGGUAACGGCUCACCAAGGCGACGAUGCGUAGCCGACCUGAGAGGGUGAUCGGCCACACUGGGACUGAGACACGGCCCAGACUCCUACGGGAGGCAGCAGUAGGGAAUCUUCCGCAAUGGACGAAAGUCUGACGGAGCAACGCCGCGUGAGUGAUGAAGGUUUUCGGAUCGUAAAGCUCUGUUGCCAGGGAAGAACACUUGGGAGAGUAACUGCUCUCAAGCUGACGGUACCUGAGAAGAAAGCCCCGGC